Molecule: long non-coding RNA, 324 nt
Organism: Malania oleifera
Lineage: Eukaryota; Viridiplantae; Streptophyta; Magnoliopsida; Santalales; Ximeniaceae
Exons: 4
Source: RefSeq, a predicted model, not a curated record
AGUUUUACGCCGGAUCGACAAACCGAAACCACCACGACGCUCCUGGCGAAAUUCUCUACAAGUUUGCCGGAACGGAUCGUCAGGAAAACGAAAUUGGAUUUCAUCCCAAAUCCAAGUUCCAGGGUGUUGAUUGGGAACGUGGGAAAUCAUCCCUAAGUUGAGGGUGUUGAGUUGAGAACCUUGUGGGUACGGGGGAGAUUUUCUUAGGGGCUUUUCAGGAAUCAGGAGCCCCUGAUAGGAGAGCGGGAAAAGCCCCGCUGAUCUAGAUCAGUUGGUUGCCCUCUUUGGAAGGGUAAGUUUUUGGUAGGGACAGUUAGGUUUUUG